This 71-nucleotide transfer RNA is filed under the name Ailuropoda melanoleuca (giant panda). It matches the Rfam family "tRNA". From Rfam's summary of the family: Transfer RNA (tRNA) molecules are approximately 80 nucleotides in length. Lineage: Eukaryota; Metazoa; Chordata; Mammalia; Carnivora; Ursidae. The record is from Rfam by way of RNAcentral.
ACCUGGCUGGCUCAAUCAGUAGAGCAUGUGACUGGAUCUCAGGGUUGUGAGUUCAAGCCCCAUGUUGGGUU